GGGCGUGUGGUCUAGGGGUAUGGCGUCCGCUUCGCAUAUAUGCUACGGCUGCAUCAUUGCGGAAGGUCCGGGGUUCAAUUCCCCGCUCGUCCA
RNAcentral lists this transfer RNA (93 nucleotides) under Dactylonectria macrodidyma. RNAcentral describes it as "Ilyonectria macrodidyma tRNA". It matches the Rfam family "tRNA". Rfam says of the family: Transfer RNA (tRNA) molecules are approximately 80 nucleotides in length. Their secondary structure includes four short double-helical elements and three loops (D, anti-codon, and T loops). Lineage: Eukaryota; Fungi; Ascomycota; Sordariomycetes; Hypocreales; Nectriaceae. The record is from Rfam by way of RNAcentral.